UAGCUACUCCUGCCACCGAGAAGCCCCAUUGCCACGCCUUCCCCUCCCCGAUGGACGGUGUGCUUCAAACUGCGAGCCCCAGCAAACCCUUCUCCCCCAAGCUGCUUCUUGUCGUGUUCUUCGCCACACAGGAAGUAACCCGCUCGGAGAGUGUUGCAUGAGACAGUCACCACUUACGCUUUUCGGAGGAACGUAGUUGGGAUCUGGGCCUUUGGCUAUGGAGAGCUGCAGGAUUCUGGGAGACGGAUCAGAGAAACGGAGAACCUCUGGUGAAACUCAGAUUUUAAAAGGGCCCAUCACAGGGGGAAAGCACAGAGACUCCUUGGAAGAUCUGGCUUUCUCUCAGAGUCUCCAGGAGCCCGGCCUCCAGCUGUGCUGGUCACCAUUUCAGAGGACAAAGUGCUAGAGGGCGAAUGGACAUGCAUCCUGUGCACAGCUGGCAGGACACCAAAGGAUGCACUGGAUUUCAUGACACUGAAGACAUUGAGGAGUUUCUUCAUCCAACAAAAAUCACCGAGUUCUGCCUUCAUAAGAGUGUAAAGAGCCAAACACAGAGGCAUAUAUUAGAGUUGGACAUGUGUUUUAAAGAAAAUUAUCAGGUCAAAGACUGGUAUUUUUUUGUAUGAGGGAACACACACUUUGAAAGUCUCCUAGCAGAAGGAAAAUUGACUCCGUGCCCGUGUGCCCCGAGAGCAAAACAAU
Molecule: long non-coding RNA, 702 nt
Organism: Alexandromys fortis (reed vole)
Lineage: Eukaryota; Metazoa; Chordata; Mammalia; Rodentia; Cricetidae
Exons: 4
Source: RefSeq, a predicted model, not a curated record